AACCAUAGAAACCUGCGGAGUACCUGCGGAAGGAUCAUUACAGAGUUGCAAAACUCCCAAACCAUUGUGGACGAACUUGACAGUUGCUUCGGCAGGUCGGCCCAGCGCCGUGCGGUGGCUCCUCGCGAGCCCGCCUGCCGGAGUCGCCUAAACUCUUGAUUAUUAUUAGCAUCUCUGAGUAACUUAUUCAAUAAGUCAAAACUUUCAACAAUGGAUCUCAGAUCGGAAGAGCAAACGUCU
This 240-nucleotide unclassified non-coding RNA is filed under the name soil metagenome. RNAcentral's name for it is "partial contains 5.8S ribosomal RNA, internal transcribed spacer 2, and large subunit ribosomal RNA". The record is from RNAcentral.